GACGAACGCUGGCGGCGUGCCUAACACAUGCAAGUCGAGCGAUGAAGCCCUUCGGGGUGGAUUAGCGGCGGACGGGUGAGUAACACGUGGGUAACCUGCCUCAAAGAGGGGGAUAGCCUCCCGAAAGGGAGAUUAAUACCGCAUAAAAUCAUGUUUUCGCAUGAAGAUAUGAUUAAAGGAGCAAUCCGCUUUGAUAUGGACCCGCGGCGCAUUAGCUCGUUGGGGAGGGAACGGCUCACCAAGGCCAGGAUGCGUAGCCGACCGGAGAGGGUGACCGGCCACAUUGGAACUGAGUCACGGUCAGGACUCGUACGGGAGGCAGCACUGGGGAAGAUUGCACUAUGGGCGAAAGCCUGAUGCAGCAAGGCCGCGUGAGUGAUGACGGCCUUCGGAUUGUAAAACUCUGUCUUUGGGGACGAUAAUGACGGUACCCAAGGAGGAAGCCACGGCUAACUACGUGCCAGCAGCCGCCGUAA
This 476-nucleotide ribosomal RNA is filed under the name uncultured bacterium. Its description in RNAcentral is "partial 16S ribosomal RNA". It matches the Rfam family "Bacterial small subunit ribosomal RNA", at positions 28 to 523 of the family's 1533-position model. The record is from RNAcentral.